CCUACGGGCGGCAGCAGUGGGGGAUAUUGCACAAUGGGGGAAACCCUGAUGCAGCGACGCCGCGUGGGUGAAGAAGUAUUUCGGUAUGUAAAGCUCUAUCAGCAGGGAAGUAGAAAUGACGGUACCUGCGUAUGAAGCACCAGCUAAAUACGUGCCAGCAGCCGCGGUAAUACGGAGGGUGCAAGCGUUAUCCGGAUUUACUGGGUGUAAAGGGAGCGCAGGCGGCACGGUAAGCCUGAUGUGAAAGCCCGCGGCCCAACCGCAGUACUGCAUUGGGAACUACCGGGCUGGAGUGCAGGAGAGGUAGGCGGAAUUCCUAGUGUAGCGGUGAAAUGCGUAGAUAUUAGGAGGAACACCAGUGGCGAAGGCAGCCUACUGGACGGUGACUGACGCUGAGGCUCGAAAGCGUGGGGAGCAAACAGGAUUAGAUACCCCUGUAGUC
This 442-nucleotide ribosomal RNA is filed under the name uncultured bacterium. Its description in RNAcentral is "partial 16S ribosomal RNA". It matches the Rfam family "Bacterial small subunit ribosomal RNA", at positions 338 to 795 of the family's 1533-position model. The record is from RNAcentral.